AGUGAACGCUGGCGGUAGGCCUAACACAUGCAAGUCGAACGGCAGCACAGUAAGAGCUUGCUCUUACGGGUGGCGAGUGGCGGACGGGUGAGGAAUACAUCGGAAUCUACUUUUUCGUGGGGGAUAACGUAGGGAAACUUACGCUAAUACCGCAUACGACCUACGGGUGAAAGCAGGGGAUCUUCGGGCCUUGCGCGAUUGAAUGAGCCGAUGUCGGAUUAGCUAGUUGGCGGGGUAAGGCCCACCAAGGCGACGAUCCGUAGCUGGUCUGAGAGGAUGAUCAGCCACACUGGAACUGAGACACGGUCCAGACUCCUACGGGAGGCAGCAGUGGGGAAUAUUGGACAAUGGGCGCAAGCCUGAUCCAGCCAUACCGCGUGGGUGAAGAAGGCCUUCGGGUUGUAAAGCCCUUUUGUUGGGAAAGAAAAGCAGCAGGUUAAUACCCCGCUGUUCUGACGGUACCCAAAGAAUAAGCACCGGCUAACUUCGUG
Molecule: ribosomal RNA, 491 nt
Filed under: uncultured bacterium
Lineage: Bacteria
Description: partial 16S ribosomal RNA
Rfam family: Bacterial small subunit ribosomal RNA
Source: RNAcentral